ACCAUGCAUGUCUAAGUAUAAACUAAUUAUACGGUGAAACUGCGAAUGGCUCAUUAAAUCMSUUAUAGUCUACUUGAUCGUAAAUUCUACUUGGAUAACCGUAGGAAAUCUAGGGCUAAUACAUGCUAAAAGCCGCGACUACCUCCGGGUUGGAAGCGGUGAAUUUAUUASAUUAAAAACCAAUGGCGGGGGCAACCUCGUCAACCCUAGGCGAUUCAUGAUAACGCAUCUGAUCGGCGGCUAGUCCGCCGACGAUACAUACGAAUUUCUGCCCUAUCAACUUUCGAUGGUUGGAUAGAGGCCAACCAUGGUCGUAACGGGUAACGGAGAAUUAGGGUUCGGUUCCGGAGAUGGAGCCUGAGAGAUGGCUACAACUUCCACGGAAGGCAGCAGGCGCGCAAAUUACCCAAUCCCAAUACGGGGAGGUAGUGACAUGAAAUACCGAUGCGUGGCCCUAUUGGGUCGCGACGUUGGAAUGAGUACAAUUUAAAUCCCUUAACGAGGAACAAUUGGAGGACAAGUCUGGUGCCAGCACCCGCGGUAAUUCCAGCUCCRAUAGCGUAUAUUAAAGUUGUUGCAGUUAAAAAGCUCGUAGUUGGAUUUCGGAGCAUUCACGAUGCUGACCGCUGAAACGGCGUGUUCGGCGCGUGKAUCUCCUCUUCUUGGGGAUUCAAGUGGGUGGCGGGUAAAACCGUCRUUCGCUCCCCAUCGUUUACUUUGAGAAAAUUGGAGUGCUCAAAGCAGGCACAACCCUGCCUUGAACAAUGCAGCAUG
RNAcentral lists this ribosomal RNA (774 nucleotides) under Echinamoeba exundans. Its description in RNAcentral is "bacterial SSU rRNA". It matches the Rfam family "Eukaryotic small subunit ribosomal RNA", at positions 48 to 822 of the family's 1831-position model. The record is from RNAcentral. Lineage: Eukaryota; Tubulinea; Echinamoebida; Echinamoebidae.